This is a non-coding RNA of Solanum lycopersicum (tomato), 479 nucleotides long. NCBI's taxonomy places the organism in Eukaryota, Viridiplantae, Streptophyta, Magnoliopsida, Solanales, Solanaceae. The record is from RefSeq and is a predicted model, not a curated record.
CACCUCACAACUCACAAAGUCAAACUCAACGAACUCCCCUCUCCAAAAUAUUUCUCUCUAGACUCCAUUGAAGAGAAAAGUCAAGAUCAAUCUAGGGCUCCAAGAAUCAGUCUUUUCUCCUCAAUUUCAUGUGUUAUUAAACCUAAGGUAUGGAUGGUAUUCAUCUUUCGGAACCUUUCAUCAAAAGAGACCCUUCAAAUUGAGUUUUCAAGAUUCUAAAUUCCCCAAACUUAGGUUAUGAUCGUUGAGACAUUGUACUUGUUUCAAGUAAAUCAUGGGUUGACUAUUCCCUAGUCUUGUUGAAUCCUCAAGUUUGGGAGAAGAUUUCAUCUUUUAUAAAUUCUAUUUUAGGUUAUAUUUUGAGGCUUUAUUGAUUUAUAGGGCAACCCUAUUUGUACUCUCUAUUGUGUUAGAUCAUGAAUGAGACAAGCUUAUAGUCUUAUGUUUGUCUAUAAAAAAAAUUGACUUCGAUUGCAAAA